UUGGAGGGCAGUCUGGUGCCAGCAGCCGCGGUAAUUCCAGCUCCAAUAGCGUAUAUUAAGGUUGUUGCAGUUAAAAAGCUCGUAGUUGAAUUUCGGGAUUCAUCCGUUGGUCGGGCUUCACGGUCCGUACUGGUGUGAUGGGUUCCUACCUUCUGAAUAACCGGCAUGCCAUUAAUUUGGUGCGCCGGGGAAGCAGAACUAUUACCUUGAAAAAAUUAGAGUGCUUAAAGCAGGCAAGUGCCUGAAUAGGUUAGCAUGGAAUAAUAAAAUAGGACGGCAUGGUUCUAUUUUGUUGGUUUCUAGGAUCACCGUAAUGAUUAAUAGGGAUAGUUGGGGGCAUUAGUAUUCAAUUGUCAGAGGUGAAAUUCUUGGAUUUAUUGAAGACUAACUUCUGCGAAAGCAUUUGCCAAGGAUGUUUUCAUUAAUCAAGAACGAAAGUUAGGGGAUCGAAGACGAUCAGAUACCGUCGUAGUCUUAACCAUAAACUAUGCCGACUAGGGAUCGGACGAUGUUAAUUUUUUAAUGACUCGUUCGGCGCCUUACGGGAAAC
This 550-nucleotide ribosomal RNA is filed under the name uncultured Glomeromycotina. RNAcentral's name for it is "SSU rRNA". It matches the Rfam family "Eukaryotic small subunit ribosomal RNA", at positions 548 to 1098 of the family's 1831-position model. Lineage: Eukaryota; Fungi; Glomeromycota. The record is from RNAcentral.